Molecule: unclassified non-coding RNA, 101 nt
Filed under: uncultured fungus
Lineage: Eukaryota; Fungi
Description: sequence contains ITS1
Source: RNAcentral
GUAUAAAAAACUACAGACUCUGUCAAACAAGCAAGCGUAAAUGUUAGAGGCAAAGCCCCUCGCAGUCAUUAUUGAUCCUUCCGCAGGUUCACCUACGGAAA